GCCGCGGCCACGAGAGGGCGUUAGUGUGCGGUAGACUGUAUAUUUUUAUUUUCCAACGAAGUACGCGUGACACUCGUAGGCGAGUGACGGUUCUUGACUACGAUCCCGUCAAUGUGUCAGUUAUCAGCCGGUGCAGUCCAGUGCAAACGUAGACAGUUCGCCGUGGAAGCUGGCUGGAGGCGUUACGUUACGUCGUAUCGUGCCACGCAACGCCACAACGCGACGUGCCGCGCCAAGGACGCGGCGACGACAGGCGUCGACGACGCCUUCGCCUCUUUUUUUCCACUUCCCCUUCUCUCUCGAUCGAGUUCACGCCGGUCGACGUGUUACGUCGAGUGUCGCUUCGAAAAUUCGUGCGCUUCGUCGUAAUUUCCGUGACCCCCGGUGUGCCGCGCGAGCAUUUUUCGCGGCGUCGCGCACGUAAAAAGGAAAGAAAGAAAAAGAGAGAGAGAGAGAGAGAGAGAGAGAGGCAGAGAAGAGGAAAAAUCCUCAUUGGAAAUUAGAAUCUCGGUUCGCGCGGGAGUCGUACGGAAACUUACCUACUGACGACCAAGUACGAUCCUUGUCCUUCGUUCCACUACUGCCGUUUUCAUCUCACAAAAGUUGUGCAAAUGGCAGAAGAAUAUUUUAAUGCUCGGAAUUAUGGCAAAGUUCUUAGGUUCGCGGAACGCAGUCAAGCUGGCUGCCUCCGGCGGUAAUCCCUCCUCUGCCAUCGCCGCAUCCGCACAUCCUCCAGUGCUUUGGAGUUCCCGCAGAAAGCCAGGCCUGUACUUGCGGAGCAUCGAGGAGCCGAGGAUGACGGCGGAAACGGCGGGACCUUGUGUACAAGGAAUACAGGGCGUCCAGAGUAGCGUAGCCAGUCAAAGUAUGCUGCAACAGGAUGGAACCAGUGGCAGUGGUGGCGGCGUUUAUUAUUCCUCGACAUCGACUUGGACGUACGAUCCAGAAUACGCCCGUAUGGAGGCUUGGCUUGACGAGCAUCCUGACUUCGUUAACGAUUACUUUCUCAGGAAAGUGACACGACAGACCGUUGACGUGUGGCUAGUAUCACAUGCAACGCCAACCUCAUCAUCGAGUAGUUGCGUAGAGCUUUCGAGUCCAAUCCAUGCCACGGCCGGCAACUCGUCCUCCGGACGAAGUGGUGCCGGUGGCUCGGGAGCUACGACACCGGUACGCAAAAUCUCGGCACACGAGUUCGAGCGUGGAGGCCUUCUAAAGCCGAUCGUCAACACAAUCGAUGGCACGCCAACCUUCUUGAGCGUAUCAAUGAGUGACGCGAAUCAAACGAGUGGGCCACAAGUCGGACCUGGUAAUUCCAACCGUCCACAAAGACGGUCGCGUCACGAGCUUAGGCACCUCGACGAGAAAGAUCUUAUUUUCGAGCUGGUCAAAGACAUCUGCAAUGAGUUGGAUGUGAGAUCAUUGUGUCACAAGAUCCUGCAGAAUGUGAGCACACUUCUUCACGCCGAUCGCGGCUCGCUGUUCCUUGUCCAGGGAGAGAGAAGCGGCACCACCGUUGCCGCUGCUGCUGCUGCUGCCGUUAUCACCACUAAUGCACCAUCCUCUCUGAAUCACGAGGCUGCCGCGAGCAAUUCCAACAUCGAAAAUAAUCUACAGCGUAAUGAUCAAUCCUAUUUGAGAAGCAGAUGUCUGGUAUCAAAAUUAUUCGAUGUCUGUUCAAGAUCGACAUUGAUGGAGAUGGAAAAGAAAGAUGAAAUUAAAAUUCCUUGGGGUACCGGAAUCGUCGGAUACGUCGCUGAAAGUGGGGAACCUGUCAACAUACCAGAUGCUUACAAGGAUUCGAGAUUUAAUCGCGAAAUUGACGCUUUAACGGGAUACCGCACGCGUGCCUUGCUGUGCAUGCCUAUUAAAGAUUGCAAUGGUGAUGUAAUCGGAGUGGCACAGGUGAUCAACAAGCUUGGCGGCGAAGGACAAUUUACUGCGCAAGAUGAAAAGGUUUUCGCUGGUUAUUUACAAUUCUGUGGUAUCGGUUUAAGAAAUGCUCAACUUUAUGAAAAGAGCCAAUUAGAGGUGAAGAGAAAUCAGGUUUUAUUGGAUUUGGCUAGAAUGAUUUUCGAGGAACAAAGUACGAUAGAGCACAUGGUUUUUAGAAUUCUCACGCAUACGCAAUCAUUGAUUCAAUGCCAACGUGUUCAGGUGUUGCUCGUGCACAAAGCUUCAAAGGGAAGUUUCUCGCGCGUUUUUGAUUUCGAAGCGAAUGAUCUCGCUGGCGAGGAUUCUGAUUCUCGCACUAGUCCUUUCGAGAGUAGAUUUCCCAUUAAUGUUGGUAUUACGGGUUAUGUAGCAACUACCGGUGAAACAGUCAAUAUAUUGAAUGCUUACGAAGAUCCGAGAUUCGAUCCACUGGUGGACGAUGGUACCGGUUUUAAGCAUCGAACAAUUCUUUGUAUGGCCAUCAAGAAUUCAUCCGGUCAAAUAAUAGGCGUCAUUCAACUAAUUAAUAAAUUCGAUGAUCUUCCUUUUACAAAGAACGAUGAAAAUUUUGUUGAAGCGUUUGCGAUCUUCUGCGGAAUGGGAAUUCAUAAUACGCACAUGUAUGAAAAAGCUAUAAUAGCGAUGGCAAAACAAAGCGUCACUUUAGAAGUACUGAGUUACCAUGCAUCAGCAUCAUUGGAGGACGCACAAAGAUUGAAGAAUUUAAGAGUCCCGUCAUCAGCGCAUUUUCAAUUGCACGAUUUCAAGUUUGAUGAUAUACAUAUGGAAGAUGGCGACACUCUUACUGCGUGUCUUAGAAUGUUUCUCGAUUUGGACUUUGUUGAACGAUUUCACAUCGAUUAUGACAUACUUUGUCGUUGGUUAUUGAGCGUAAAGAAAAACUAUCGGAAUGUUACAUAUCAUAAUUGGCGGCAUGCUUUUAACGUAGCCCAAAUGAUGUUUGCUAUUUUAACGGCUACGCAAUGGUGGAAAAUCUUUGGUGAAAUUGAAUGUCUUGCCCUCAUCAUUGCCUGUUUGUGUCAUGAUCUCGAUCAUCGUGGAACAAACAAUUCUUUUCAAAUUAAAGCUUCAUCACCGUUGGCACAGUUGUAUUCAACUUCAACGAUGGAACAUCAUCACUUUGAUCAGUGUCUGAUGAUUUUGAGCAGCCAGGGCAAUCAAAUCCUAUCAAAUCUUUCACCAGAAGAAUAUUCGCGCGUGGUAAAGGUUCUUGAAGAAGCGAUACUUUCUACUGAUCUGGCAGUUUACUUCAGAAAGCGUGGCGCUUUUCUUAAUUUAGCACGCAGUGGUGGCUAUAACUGGGCAUUUGGUGAUCAUCGAGAGCUUCUACGCGGGAUGUUGAUGACAGUCUGUGAUUUAGCCGCCAUUACGAAACCAUGGGAGGUUGAAAAGAGGGUAGCCGAACUCGUUAGUAGCGAGUUUUUCGAACAGGGUGACAUAGAAAGGCGAACACUCAAUAUUACACCUAUUGACAUUAUGAAUCGAGAGAAAGAGGAUCAAUUACCGAUGAUGCAAGUUGGUUUCAUUGAUUCGAUCUGUCUACCUAUCUAUGAGGGUGUGUAAAAAAAAUGUGGAAGGGAACAUUGUUUAAAAAAAGAACUCCAGACAACAUUAUCGCAUCAAUUAUUCAGAGAGCUUCAACAGAGUUCAGACAGCUAUAGCUAAUUAUACGUUCUCCAAGAAAAUAAAAUAUCUCAAGUCAUGAACUAUUACGUUCCAAUUCAACAGAAUGAGACGUGCAAGAGACACGCAAACAUCGUCUAGUGCAUUACAUCUUCGAAACCUCGCUACAUGCUUCGUAUCUUGAUGAGGAAAUAUGCAUGACAUCGACAGCGUACAAGUUCCUGGACAUUGGAAUCGUUGUGGAAUCUAUAUCUCAUGUGCAAUUGCGAUUGGCGAUAAUCAAGGCAACCGCCGUUCAUACCUCCUGCUAUACCUACGUAGAACAUUUAUCGAAAAACAUACAGAUAUCGAGCGAUUAAUACAAUCAACAAUCCUAUUAUCAUCAUCGAUUCAAGAUCUAAAUAUGGAAUUUAUUAAAAUAUACGAAUAACGUAAAAUUAACAUUAAAUUAAUGCACAUGUUUGUAACCAACAAUUAUGCUUUUCUUAUUUGAAUUUGAGCAAUGUGUUGAGCAUAUAUUCUAUAAACUGAAUCAAUAUACGUACGGUGUUAGUAAGUAAUUCGAAUAUUUUGUGUCAUUUUUAAGACAAAAUUGUACUAAUAAAAGCGAUGCUGCAAACAUUUUGUACAAAAUUUAUGAUAAAAAUUCUAUUAUAGAAUGUGAACUAAUAGUCUAUGGUUUAGAUUAUAUUACUACAUACUGUAUUAUAUGAUAAAUAAAUGUAUGUUAAAAAAUA
This is an RNA transcript of Atta colombica, 4316 nucleotides long. It is a transcript of the gene named dual 3',5'-cyclic-AMP and -GMP phosphodiesterase 11, with no coding region annotated. The record is from RefSeq and is a predicted model, not a curated record. Lineage: Eukaryota; Metazoa; Arthropoda; Insecta; Hymenoptera; Formicidae. The transcript is spliced from 18 exons.